CGCACGGGCGAGUAACGCGUAAGUAAUCUACCCUGGUAUCUGGGAUAACCCACCGAAAGGUGUGCUAAUACCGGAUACGCUGAUUUAUCAGGGAAGGUGGCCUCUUCAUGAAAGCUACUGUACUAGGAGGAGCUUGCGUACCAUUAGCUAGUUGGUAGGGUAAUGGCCUACCAAGGCAACGAUGGUUAGCGGGUCUGAGAGGAUGAUCCGCCACACUGGAACUGGAACACGGACCAG
RNAcentral lists this ribosomal RNA (237 nucleotides) under uncultured bacterium. Its description in RNAcentral is "partial 16S ribosomal RNA". It matches the Rfam family "Bacterial small subunit ribosomal RNA", at positions 99 to 334 of the family's 1533-position model. The record is from RNAcentral.